GAAGGCCUACGGGGCGCAGCAGUGGGGAAUAUUGCACAAUGGGGGAAACCCUGAUGCAGCAACGCCGCGUGAGUGAAGAAGUAUUUCGGUAUGUAAAGCUCUAUCAGCAGGAAAGAAAAUGACAGUACCUGACUAAGAAGCCCCGGCUAACUACGUGCCAGCAGCCGCGGUAAUACGGAGGAUGCGAGCGUUAUCCGGAUUUAUUGGGUUUAAAGGGUGCGUAGGCGGAAUGCCAAGUCAGCGGUAAAAUCGCGGGGCUCAACCUCGCUCCGCCGUUGAAACUGGCGUUCUUGAGUGGGCGAGAA
Molecule: ribosomal RNA, 305 nt
Filed under: uncultured bacterium
Lineage: Bacteria
Description: bacterial SSU rRNA
Rfam family: Bacterial small subunit ribosomal RNA
Source: RNAcentral